This 710-nucleotide long non-coding RNA is filed under the name Homo sapiens (human). Its description in RNAcentral is "HSALNT0342803". Lineage: Eukaryota; Metazoa; Chordata; Mammalia; Primates; Hominidae. The record is from RNAcentral.
ACCCUCAGAGAAAGAGAGAGUCUUUGGAGAGUUGUGAGGAGAUAAGUGACAUAAACUGGCAUGUUCUGAAAGAAUCACUCUGGAUGCUGUGUGGAGAAAACACUGAAAAGAAUUCUAGAGUGAAAGUUUCAUGAAUAUAAGAAGCAAGACAAGGAAGUGGCUUAUGCUUAAGGCCUUAAAGGCAACCACUGUGACAAUCCAGCCAUUCUCUGGAGAAUUCAGCAGAAAGCCAGUUGGAAAGACCAAAAUGCUGAACAGAACAGGAUUUGGUACAGCAGAGAGCAUGCAACUCUGGGAACUAUGGAAAAGGAUUCCAGGCAUCAUAAAGGAAGAAAGGCCAGAAAAGAAGGUGGUGGAUACCAAAAAUUCUGUGGACUACCUAAAAAAGCACCCAUCUUUAUAGGGGGAGAAUAAUUGACUCCAUUCAAGUGUUCGCUCCUGUUUCAAUCAACUAUGGCUGAAGAGUGAGGAGACAUUUGGAAUAAAUAUGGCUUCUGGGGGCCCAUUCCUAUGGAUCAGCAGCUGGCUUCUGGAGGCCCAUUCCUGUGAAUCGUCGAUCUCAUAGAAGAUAAUAUUGUUAGAAGGCUUACCUCAUUGAUGCUGAACAUCCUAAAAAGCUUCUGCUGCUUUGAGUCACUGAAAAAGACCAAGAAACAUGAAUUUAAAAAAAAAUUUCAAAUGUUAUAAAAUAAAUAAUAUGAACUCAUUAU